UGAAUAUAUUAAGGGCUUACGAUGAAUACCUAGGCAUUUAAAAUCGAUGAAGGGCGUAGAAAUCAACGAAAAGUUUUGGGGAACUGAAAACAAGUUUUGAUCCAAAAAUUCCCGAAUGAGGCAACUCUAUAAUACGAAAGAGAUUACCUAGCGAACUGAACCAUCUUAGUAGCUAGAGGAAAUGAAAGCAAACGCGAUUCCCUUAGUAGUGGUGAGCGAAACGGGAGCAGUCUAAACAGCUAAUAAUUUUAGCUGGGUUGUGGGACAAUUAAAAAUUUUUUAAUUAUAAAAAAAAUGAAACAAUUGAAUGUUGUACCAAAGAUGGUGAAAGUCCAGUAAUUAUAAUUAGUAAUUAAAAUUAAAUUGUAUCCCAAGUAGUACGGGACACGUGAAAUCCCGUAUGAAUCCACGAGGACCACCUUGUAAGACUAAAUAUUUUUAAAUGACCGAUAGUGAACUAGUACCGUGAGGGAAAGGUGAAAAGAAUCCCGGGAGGGAAGUGAAAUAGAACAUGAAAUCGUAAGCUUACAAGCAGUAGGAGAUCAAAUGAUUGACUGCGUACCUGUUGAAGAAUGUGCCGGCGACUUAUAUAAAAUGGCUUGGGUAAGAAAAUACUGAAUCCAAAGCGAAAGCGAGUUUUAAAAAGCAUUUGUCAUUUUUUAUAGACCCGAACCCGAGUGAUCUAACCAUGACCAGGAUGAAGCUUAGGUAAAGCUAAGUGGAGGUCCGAACCGACUGAUGUUGAAAAAUCACCGGAUGAGUUGUGGUUAGAGGUGAAAUGCUAAUCGAACUCGGAGCUAGCUGGAUCUCCCCGAAAUGCGUUUAGGCGCAGCGGUUAAUUAUGAAGUCUGGAGGGGUAAAGCACUGUUUCAAUGCGGGCUACGAAAGUAGUACUAAAUCGAGGCAAACUCUGAAUACUUUAUAGAUCUACAAUUAACUAGUGAGACAGUGGGGGAUAAGCUUCAUUGUCGAAAGGGAAACAGCCCAGAUCAUCAGCUAAGGCCCCAAAAUAUUUACUAAGUGAUAAAGGAGGUAAAAGUACAUAGACAUCCAGAAGGUUUGAUUAGAAGCAGCAAUCCUUUAAAGAGUGCGUAAUAGCUCACUGGUUAAGUGCUUUUGCGCCAAAAAUGAAUGGGACUAAGUAAAUUGCCGAAGCUAUGAGUUAUAUAAAUUUAUAUAGCGGUAGGGGAGCGUUCUGUUGUAGUGUGAAGUAAAUAUGAAAGUAUUUAUGGACGAAGCAGAAGUGAGAAUGUCGGCUUAAGUAACGAAAACAUUGGUGAGAAUCCAAUGCUCCGAAAUCCUAAGGGUUCCUUCGGAAGGUUCGUCCACGAAGGGUGAGUCAGGACCUAAGGUAAGGCUGAAAAGCGUAGCUAAUGGAUAACAGGUUAAAAUUCCUGUACUUUUUUUUAUUUGUAGCAAGGGACGAAAUCAGCUAAACUCGCCACUUAAUGGAUUUUGGUUUAAAUGUUCAAGGUUAAGAGAAAUGGUGAAAACAUUUUGAGCUAAGACAUGAUGACGCAAGGAGUGUAUGUUAUAUUUCCAAGAAAAGCUUGUACUACGUUAAAUAAAAAAACCUGUACCCUAAACCGACACAGGUAGGAAAGUAGAGUAUACUAAGGAGCGCGAGAUAACUCUCUCUAAGGAACUCGGCAAAUUAACCCCGUAACUUCGGGAGAAGGGGUACCUUUUUAGGUCACAGUGACCAGGCCCAAGCGACUGUUUACCAAAAACACAGGUCUCCGCAAAGUUGUAAAACACUGUAUGGGGGCUGACGCCUGCCCAGUGCCGGAAGGUUAAAUGAGUGGAUUAAAUGUUCGCAACUGAAGCCCCGGUGAACGGCGGCCGUAACUAUGACGGUCCUAAGGUAGCGAAAUUCCUUGUCGGGUAAGUUCCGACCCGCACGAAAGGCGUAACGAUUUGGGCGCUGUCUCGGAGAGAGACUCGGUGAAAUAGAAUUGUCUGUGAAGAUGCGGACUACCUGCACCUGGACAGAAAGACCCUAUGAAGCUUUACUGUAACUUGAAAUUGAUUUUGGAUUUUUCUUGCGCAGUCUAGAUGGGAGACUUAGAUAUUUAUUUUGCGGAAUAAAUGGAGUCAUUCAUGAGAAACCAUUCUUGAAGGAUUAAAAAUCUAAUUUUGCAUUCUUAUCGAAUCAAAAAACAGUUUCAGGUGGGCAGUUUGACUGGGGCGGUCGCCUCCUAAAAGGUAACGGAGGCGCGCAAAGGUUUUCUCAAACUGUAUGGAAAUCAGUUGAAGAGUGUAAAGGUAUAAGAAAGCUUGACUGUAAGACUUACAAGUCGAACAGGGACGAAAGUCGGCCUUAAUGAUCCGACAAUACUGCGUGGAAAGGUUGUCGCUCAACGGAUAAAAGUUACUCUAGGGAUAACAGGCUGAUCUCCCCCAAGAGUCCACAUCGACGGGGAGGUUUGGCACCUCGAUGUCGGCUCAUCGCAACCUGGGGCGGUAGUACGUCCCAAGGGUUGGGCUGUUCGCCCAUUAAAGCGGUACGUGAGCUGGGUUCAGAACGUCGUGAGACAGUUCGGUCCAUAUCCGGUGUAGGCGUUAAAGUAUUGAAAGGAGUCUUUCCUAGUACGAGAGGAUUGGAAAGAGCAGACCGAUGGUGUACCAGUUAUCAUUCCAAUGGUAAAUGCUGGGUAGCUAUGUCUGAAGUGGAUAACUGCUGAAAGCAUCUAAGUAGGAAGCCCACCUUAAGAUGAGUACUUUUAAAUCACGGUAAGAUUAACCGUUUUAUAGGCAACAAGUAUAAGUUUGGUAACAGAUUGAGCUAAGUUGUACUAAUAGAUUUUUUUUAUUCAAUAU
Molecule: ribosomal RNA, 2820 nt
Filed under: Palmophyllum crassum
Lineage: Eukaryota; Viridiplantae; Prasinodermophyta; Palmophyllophyceae; Palmophyllales; Palmophyllaceae
Description: LSU rRNA
Rfam family: Bacterial large subunit ribosomal RNA
Source: RNAcentral